This 69-nucleotide transfer RNA is filed under the name Tarsius wallacei. RNAcentral's name for it is "tRNA-Gly". It matches the Rfam family "tRNA". Rfam says of the family: Transfer RNA (tRNA) molecules are approximately 80 nucleotides in length. The record is from RNAcentral. Lineage: Eukaryota; Metazoa; Chordata; Mammalia; Primates; Tarsiidae.
GUCCCUUUAGUAUCAGUUAGUACGGUUGACUUCCAAUCAAUUAGCUCUGGUGUAAUCCAGAAAGGAACA